This 308-nucleotide unclassified non-coding RNA is filed under the name uncultured Bacteroidota bacterium. RNAcentral's name for it is "uncultured Bacteroidetes bacterium contains 16S-23S intergenic spacer region". Lineage: Bacteria; Pseudomonadati; Bacteroidota. The record is from RNAcentral.
UCACUACUUGCGUAGGCAGUCUGGCUAGAGUCCCCACCUUAACGUGCUGGUAACUAACCACAGGGGUUGCGCUCGUUGCGCCACUUAAGGCAACACCUCACGGCACGAGCUGACGACAGCCAUGCAGCACCUUCCCUGGCGCCCCGAAGGGAAGCCCCGUUUCGGGGGCGGUCACCAGAGAUUUAGCCCGGGUAAGGUUCUUCGCGUUGCAUCGAAUUAAGCCACAUGCUCCACCGCUUGUGCGGGGACUCAUGGGAGACUGCCGGUGUCAAACCGGAGGAAGGUGGGGAUGACGUAGCUAAGCCUUC